GACGAACGCUGGCGGCGUGCUUAACACAUGCAAGUCGAACGAUGAAGCGGUUCCUUGCACUCGUGGUUUAGUGGCGAACGGGCGAGUAACACGUGAGUAACCUGUCCUUUUCUUUGGGAUAACGUCUGGAAACGGCGGCUAAUACUGGAUAUUCAGGCUGCAUCGCUUGGUGGGGUUUGAAAAGGUUUUUUCUGGGGUUGGGUGGGCUCGCGGCUUAUCAGCUUGUUGGUGGGGUGGUGGCUUACCUAGGCUUUGACUAGUAGCCGGGCUGGGAGGGUGGCUGGGCGGAUGGGCACCGAGAUACGGCCCAGAAUACGGCGGGGGGCAGUAGUGGAGAAAAUUGUGGAAAGGACGAAAGUAUGAUGGGGCGACGGAUGCUGGAGGGUGGAGGCCGUGGGGUUGUGAACCGCGUUGUCUCGCGAAAAAGGCACAGAUGUGGCUGUGUUGAUGGUAGUGGGGGAAGAAGCGCCGGCUAACUACGUG
This 483-nucleotide ribosomal RNA is filed under the name uncultured bacterium. Its description in RNAcentral is "partial 16S ribosomal RNA". It matches the Rfam family "Bacterial small subunit ribosomal RNA", at positions 28 to 507 of the family's 1533-position model. The record is from RNAcentral.